CUGCAACCAAGAAUAAGUAAGUCCUCUAUCAUGUGAGGAAACAAUAUAUGCAAGAACACUUUCUAUCCAUAAAAUGUAGUCAUAAAAAUCAGUUUAGAGGCUAUGCUAGCUAUCAAUUUAUUGCCUCAGCUCUGAGUCCAUCUUUCAUUGCUUGCUCUGUGAUAAUGGAGGUUUGCAAUGUGAAGCUUUGCCAGUAGAAGGCGCUAGAGGGACUCAGCAGGAGAAAGGGGUUUCUAUGCCAGGUUAGGGUGCAUUCCUAUCAGACUUCAAGUUCUUCAGCACAAGUGGCCAGCAGCACGUGUACUCUUCUCACGGGCAGUAUUUCCCAGCAUCCCCUCAGAGUGGUACUGGGGAGUGCCUCAUUGACUUUACCUCGCAGCGAGCCAGUUACGUUCUCUUCAACAAGGAAGAGUGGUUGUGACUUUAUCAAUGAAGAGACUAAUAUCCUCUGAGUGCUCACCACAUCCAUGGCCCCACCAUUAAUGUCACUGUACUCUGUAACAUGUGUCCUGACCACACAGGCCUGGAGCAGGCGUGGGCACCUGACAAAAGGACAGCUGGAGCCCCUCUGCUGAGAAUUCUGAACUUGAGAUGCGCCAAAGGAGUGUUCUUUGUCUCUGCCACCUGAGUGCGCCUGCACAGUGUAGAUAAAUGAAUGGCAUGCAUAAGAGCUCGACCUUUCUUUGCUACUGGGAACUUGAUAUUGUGAACACAUUAGCUAAUCAUAAUGCAGAGGCUGUGGUAAGCAGCCCCAACAGAAACACGGACAGAGGAGAGUCAGAGAGCACCUACAUUGAAUUUUUUGUCUGCUUUAUAGCCAGCAUGUGUGUUACAAAGCAGUUAUUCUUCAUGGUUAGGAAAAAAACUAAUGAAAAACAUUUUCUGAGCCUUGAUUAACACAAUCUUUGUUAUAUAUCAGGUGUAAGUCCUUCCUAAUAAAAUAGGAAAAACUCUGCUAAUAGACAUCAGUUUAACAGAAUGUGUUUGUAAAAUGAUUGGCUCUGUCCUUACUGUUCCUGUAUUGCUUUGAACAACUGCUGUAAAACUGCAUAUUUUGAGACAUUUACGACUGGUUAGCACUCUAAAUGGAAGGAGGGAAUAUUCCAUUUCCAACAGCAAACAAAACAAAAACUAUAAAAUUAUUAUUAAAUGCUUUAAAACAAUAAAGAUAAGUAAUCUAUAAGAUAAAAAUGAUGAAAACUGAAAACACAGAAAUGGAAAGAUUCAUCUUAUUUCUGGAUGGAAAACGAAAAAUUCAGACUGUGUUUGGGAUUAUUUGUUGUUGCUAGGUCACCACCAAAACCUUGUAAUAAACAAUUAAGUUAUAAGGAGCAGAAUAUAAAAUAGCAUUUGUUUAGUAAAUAACAAUCAUGUAAACACUAUGUCAGCAGAGAGAUAAAAACUGUAAACGAAUCUGAGAAAUAUCCUAAUUAAUUUAGUUAAUUUCCUCCCUAAUUUUUAGAACUUCUCUUUGUAUCAUAAAGCUCAUUCCUUAAAAAGGAAAAUCUCAAGUAUCUUAGCAAUUUCUUUAAUGACAAUGCCUAUACCUAAGGUACUCCUUUUCCGUGUCCUGCUGUGCAAUUUCAAAUGUGGCCCUUGAUCUCUUGCAGCAAUGUUCUGGCUAGGGCUUGCUUGUAAAGACUCUGACACCAUCAGGGUGAGGAAGGUGUGCUGGCUCACAGGAGCGUGUUAUGCCCUCUCCUGGGCUUCCUCUUAGAGGUGAGAACCAGACUCCAACAGUCAACCAGCAAUGAGCACAUGUGGGAGGGCUAAGCGCAGACUUAGCACAAAAAUUAUACAUGCUUCCCAAUAAAACCAAACUUGGCCA
Molecule: long non-coding RNA, 1828 nt
Organism: Macaca mulatta (Rhesus monkey)
Lineage: Eukaryota; Metazoa; Chordata; Mammalia; Primates; Cercopithecidae
Source: RefSeq, a predicted model, not a curated record